GUCCCUGUCGAUUAGUGGUCAAAUCAUCACGUUGUGGCUGUAUAUCUGCAACUCCGUGAAGCCGGGAGCUCGAAUCUCCCCAGGGACA
Molecule: non-coding RNA, 88 nt
Organism: Rhodocollybia butyracea
Lineage: Eukaryota; Fungi; Basidiomycota; Agaricomycetes; Agaricales; Omphalotaceae
Source: the annotation of a GenBank genome assembly